This 262-nucleotide signal recognition particle RNA is filed under the name Chloroflexota bacterium. RNAcentral describes it as "Chloroflexi bacterium signal recognition particle sRNA large type". It matches the Rfam family "Bacterial large signal recognition particle RNA". Rfam says of the family: The signal recognition particle (SRP) is a universally conserved ribonucleoprotein involved in the co-translational targeting of proteins to membranes. The record is from RNAcentral. Lineage: Bacteria; Bacillati; Chloroflexota.
CCGUGCUAGAUGGGGAAUUAGCGGUGCCCUGUACCCGCAAUCCGCUAUAGCGGGGUUGAAUUCCUCCCCAGAGGCACAACCUGAGGUCUCUAUUCCCGGUCCCGGCGUUGAGAGUUGGGCCCUGCGCGGCGGAAACCCGCGAACCCCGUCAGGUCCGGAAGGAAGCAGCGGUAAGCAGGCCCUUUCGAGCGCCGCAGGCCAGUCCGGCUUGAGUCGUGGCCGGUGAACACGCCUGAGGGGACAGUCGAAGGGAGGUGCACGG